AACCAUAGAAACCUGCGGAGUACCUGCGGAAGGAUCAUUACUGAGUGAGGGCCCUCUGGGUCCAACCUCCCACCCGUGUUUAACGAACCUUGUUGCUUCGGCGGGCCCGCCUCACGGCCGCCGGGGGGCAUCCGCCCCCGGGCCCGCGCCCGCCGAAGACACCUGUGAACUCUGUCUGAAGUUGCAGUCUGAGAAACUAUUUAAAUUAGUUAAAACUUUCAACAACGGAUCUCAGAUCGG
Molecule: unclassified non-coding RNA, 240 nt
Filed under: soil metagenome
Description: partial contains 5.8S ribosomal RNA, internal transcribed spacer 2, and large subunit ribosomal RNA
Source: RNAcentral